AUUGAACGCUGGCGGCAUGCCUUACACAUGCAAGUCGAACGGCAGCACGGGAGCAAUCCUGGUGGCGAGUGGCGAACGGGUGAGUAAUAUAUCGGAACGUGCCCGGUCGUGGGGGAUAACGUAGCGAAAGCUACGCUAAUACCGCAUACGAUCUACGGAUGAAAGCGGGGGAUCGCAAGACCUCGCGCGAUUGGAGCGGCCGAUAUCAGAUUAGGUAGUUGGUGAGGUAAAGGCUCACCAAACCGACGAUCUGUAGCUGGUCUGAGAGGACGACCAGCCACACUGGGACUGAGACACGGCCCAGACUCCUACGGGAGGCAGCAGUGGGGAAUUUUGGACAAUGGGCGCAAGCCUGAUCCAGCAAUGCCGCGUGCAGGAUGAAGGCCUCGGUUGGUAAC
This 398-nucleotide ribosomal RNA is filed under the name uncultured bacterium. RNAcentral's name for it is "bacterial SSU rRNA". It matches the Rfam family "Bacterial small subunit ribosomal RNA", at positions 30 to 430 of the family's 1533-position model. The record is from RNAcentral.